GUAGUUGUCGAAAAUAAUCGUUUAUAAUUACGGUUUAUAAGUUAGCUGGUCUACUACU
RNAcentral lists this transfer RNA (58 nucleotides) under Moniliformis sp. XH-2020. RNAcentral describes it as "tRNA-Arg". Lineage: Eukaryota; Metazoa; Acanthocephala; Archiacanthocephala; Moniliformida; Moniliformidae. The record is from RNAcentral.